ACAAGGUUUCCGUAGGUGAACCUGCGGAAGGAUCAUUACAGAACGUCACCGGAGGGGUUCACGAUGCUGGUCCCUCGGGACAAGUGCUCGCCCCUCGACUUCUAUUCCACACACCCACCCGUGCACGCUGGGGAACGUCCCUCGGGGCGUUCCACACACUUAACACAAAGUCUAACGAACGCAUGUCCAGUCGAGCUCCACGGAGCGCGAAUGAAUACAACUUUCAACAACGGAUCUCUUGGCUUUCGCAUCGAUGAAGAACGCCGCGAAAGCGCGAAACGUAAUGUGAAUUGCAGAAUUCAGUGAACCAUCGAAUCUUUGAACGCACCUUGCGCCCCUUGGUAUUCCGAGGGGCAUGCCUGUUUGAGUGUCGUGAAACCUCUCAAGCUCCGAUUUCACAAGUCGUGGCUUGGAUUUGGACGUUGCCGUCGUCGUCAGAUGAAGGCUCGUCUCUAAAUGCAUUAGCCGUUCCACUUCGGUUCCCGAUCGACCACGGUGCGAUAAUACGUCGCCGUCGGUGAGGGUUCCGUGGCCCAGGCUUACAGUCGUCCCCUCGUGGGACAAAUCACACUCUUCUGACCUCAAAUCAGGUAGGACUACCCGCUGAAC
RNAcentral lists this ribosomal RNA (609 nucleotides) under Gallacea sp. PDD 105066. RNAcentral describes it as "eukaryotic LSU rRNA". The stretch from base 219 to 373 matches the Rfam family "5.8S ribosomal RNA". Lineage: Eukaryota; Fungi; Basidiomycota; Agaricomycetes; Hysterangiales; Gallaceaceae. The record is from RNAcentral.